GCUAUCUUUGCACUUUCAUUAUUUAGUCUCAGAUAGAGAUACCUCCUCUGAAUUCAUAGAAGCUGUUUUCAGCUCCAGAGGGAUUCAGAAGUGAUAAAUCCAG
This 103-nucleotide microRNA precursor is filed under the name Microtus ochrogaster (prairie vole). Its description in RNAcentral is "miRNA (ENSMOCG00000010686.1)". Lineage: Eukaryota; Metazoa; Chordata; Mammalia; Rodentia; Cricetidae. The record is from RNAcentral.